Molecule: ribosomal RNA, 395 nt
Filed under: uncultured soil bacterium
Lineage: Bacteria
Description: bacterial SSU rRNA
Rfam family: Bacterial small subunit ribosomal RNA
Source: RNAcentral
AGAUUGAACGCUGGCGGCAUGCCUUACACAUGCAAGUCGAACGGCAGCAUGAUCUAGCUUGCUAGAUUGAUGGCGAGUGGCGAACGGGUGAGUAAUACAUCGGAACGUGCCCUGUAGUGGGGGAUAACUAGUCGAAAGAUUAGCUAAUACCGCAUACGACCUGAGGGUGAAAGUGGGGGACCGCAAGGCCUCAUGCUAUAGGAGCGGCCGAUGUCUGAUUAGCUAGUUGGUGGGGUAAAGGCCCACCAAGGCGACGAUCAGUAGCUGGUCUGAGAGGACGAUCAGCCACACUGGGACUGAGACACGGCCCAGACUCCUACGGGAGGCAGCAGUGGGGAAUUUGGACAAUGGCGAAAGCCUGAUCCAGCAAUGCCGCGUGUGUGAAGAAGGACCUU